GUGAAAGGAGGAGAGAAAAAAAAAAAAGAAGAAAGAAAGGAAAAAAUGGAUUAAUGCGGUAUCGAUGUGGAGUCAAGAAUGCAUAGCUGUCGCUCUUUGUUUCUAUUUUUAGGUGAAACUGCAGUGGUAUAACUUCACCUUUUUCUAUUUC
This 151-nucleotide non-coding RNA is filed under the name Palpitomonas bilix. The record is from RNAcentral.